GCGGAAAUAGACCAUAAUGCAAUGCGCCGACAUUAAAAAUAGAACGAAAACUGUCUGCAGCCUAACAACAUGUGUUUACAAGAAACAGAUAUGUAGUAUCUGGGGAGUCUUCCACAGUACGACUUGUUUAUUCCCCGAUUUGCAGAGGAGAUACUUCCGGCAGCACGGGGAGAUUUCCCGCGGUUAUGGACUAUGUCAGACGUGUAGAGGACCUACCCGAAGCUGAGACCGACAGCAGGCAGAACUGUUAAGUCCGCGGCAUCCAUGUUUUAUGUAGAUACACUGUAAUAAAUAUUAUAGAUACUUUAUUGGCGCCCAACUCGAGGCCGCGGACUUACCUGGGUGGGUUAUUGCAUUUUUUUGCUUUUCCCAGUCACGUUGUUAGGUCGCUAUAUUGGCGGGUAGUGUCAGAUGUGGGAUUUUUCUUUUUUCUACUCGGGAAUAGAUUUGGAUUUUUGUUAUUAACAGGGAUUUUUUUUAUAUUAAUUACUGAAUGAAUUUAGACAUUCCUUGAUUGUAUUUUUGAUACAUUUUUUGUGGAUUGUUUACAUGUGAGAUGGAUAUGUCUAUAGAUGACGUGUUAUGCGGGUUGGUCUUGUGCCCUCACCCGGACAAACCUGUGGUCACACGGAAUGUACCCGCGUACUCCCAGGUAUCCCCAGGCUGUGGCGAACGUUAUUUCACGCCGUCGUUGCCUUCCUGUUUGAGGGAGGGGGGGGGGGGUAGGUUAAGGGAUGCCACAGGUGGGGAAGUGAGGUUUACUGGCAUGCAGUUUAGCUCUAGGGAGGGUGACAGGUUUUCUGGCACGCAGUUUUGCUCUGAGGAAGGUUAUAGCUUGGAUUAGGAUAUACAACGUAGGUGUGACUUCCCUGGGAAUUUAAUGGGAUUAGAUUCGCCCAAGAAAGGGUCUGGACAUGACACCCCAGGGUUUAGCGAUUGGGAUAGGUGGGAGGAGGAUUUCUUGUCCCUUGGUGGGGGCUCAGUUAUUCCUGAUGUCCCGGUAAGGCCUACUCCAGUCAAGGGGGGUGGUCAUGUACCCAGCUCUGGGAGUCUCCCGGAAUAUCAUACCCCUGCUCUGCAUUCCUACACUCCAGUGGCAAGGAGGUCAGCCCCACUCCCUCAUUCAUGGGUUGAUGAUCACGCCCUUGGCCAGCUUAGUCAGGGUUUGCCCCAGCUGGGCUUGGGUUCACGCUUGCAACACCCCACUCCUGGACCGUAUUCCACAGUUGCUCCAUUUUCGGAGCCAGGGAUUACUACGGAAAUUGCCAGUCCCCACAGCCCAGCCAGGG
Ostrea edulis (European flat oyster) is the source of this 1289-nucleotide RNA transcript. RefSeq lists it as uncharacterized. The record is from RefSeq and is a predicted model, not a curated record. The transcript is spliced from 2 exons. Lineage: Eukaryota; Metazoa; Mollusca; Bivalvia; Ostreida; Ostreidae.